UACGUAGGUGGCAAGCGUUGUCCGGAUUUACUGGGCGUAAAGAGCGCGCAGGCGGUCGUUCAAGUCGCGUGUGAAAGCCCCCGGCUCAACUGGGGAGGGUCACGCGAUACUGAUCGACUCGAAGGCAGGAGAGGGUAGUGGAAUUCCCGGUGUAGUGGUGAAAUGCGUAGAUAUCGGGAGGAACACCAGUGGCGAAGGCGAGUCUCUGGGAUGAUGCUGACGCUGAUGCGCGAAAGCCAGGGGAGCAAACGGG
RNAcentral lists this ribosomal RNA (253 nucleotides) under uncultured bacterium. RNAcentral describes it as "partial 16S ribosomal RNA". It matches the Rfam family "Bacterial small subunit ribosomal RNA", at positions 524 to 776 of the family's 1533-position model. The record is from RNAcentral.